UGAGGAAUAUUGGUCAAUGGGCGAGAGCCUGAACCAGCCAAGUCGCGUGAAGGAAGACAGUCCUAAGGAUUGUAAACUUCUUUUAUACGGGAAUAACGGGCGAUACGAGUAUUGCAUUGAAUGUACCGUAAGAAUAAGCAACGGCUAACUCCGUGCCAGCAGCCGCGGUAAUACGGAGGAUGCGAGCGUUAUCCGGAUUUAUUGGGUUCAAAGGGUGCGUAGGUUGUUCGGUAAGUCAGCGGUGAAACCUGAGCGCUCAACGUUCAGCCUGCCGUUGAAACUGCCGGGCUUGAGUUCAGUGGCGGCAGGCGGAAUUCGUGGUGUAGCGGUGAAAUGCAUAGAUAUCACGAGGAACUCCGAUUGCGAAGGCAGCUUGCCAUACUGCGACUGACACUGAAGCACGAAGGCGUGGGUAUCAAACAGG
This 424-nucleotide ribosomal RNA is filed under the name Fusobacteriota bacterium. Its description in RNAcentral is "Fusobacteria bacterium partial 16S ribosomal RNA". It matches the Rfam family "Bacterial small subunit ribosomal RNA", at positions 355 to 776 of the family's 1533-position model. Lineage: Bacteria; Fusobacteriati; Fusobacteriota. The record is from RNAcentral.